Molecule: ribosomal RNA, 491 nt
Filed under: uncultured bacterium
Lineage: Bacteria
Description: bacterial SSU rRNA
Rfam family: Bacterial small subunit ribosomal RNA
Source: RNAcentral
GAUGAACGCUAGCUACAGGCUUAACACAUGCAAGUCGAGGGGAAACGACAUCGAAAGCUUGCUUUUGAUGGGUGUCGACCGGCGCACGGGUGAGUAACGCGUAUCCAACCUGCCCACCACUUGGGGAUAACCUUGCGAAAGUAAGACUAAUACCCGAUGAUAUCCCUAGAAGACAUCUGAAAGGGAUUAAAGAUUUAUCGGUGAUGGAUGGGGAUGCGUCUGAUUAGCUUGUUGGCGGGGUAACGGCCCACCAAGGCAACGAUCAGUAGGGGUUCUGAGAGGAAGGUCCCCCACAUUGGAACUGAGACACGGUCCAAACUCCUACGGGAGGCAGCAGUGAGGAAUAUUGGUCAAUGGGCGAGAGCCUGAACCAGCCAAGUAGCGUGCAGGACGACGGCCCUAUGGGUUGUAAACUGCUUUUAUAAGGGAUAAAGUGAGUCUCGUGAGACUUUUUGCAUGUACCUUAUGAAUAAGGACCGGCUAAUUCCGUG